Molecule: ribosomal RNA, 253 nt
Filed under: uncultured bacterium
Lineage: Bacteria
Description: partial 16S ribosomal RNA
Rfam family: Bacterial small subunit ribosomal RNA
Source: RNAcentral
UACAGAGGUGGCAAGCGUUGUUCGGAAUUACUGGGCGUAAAGGGCGCGUAGGCGGCACAGCAAGUCGGGAGUGAAAGCCCGGGGCUCAACCCCGGAAUGGCUUUCGAAACUGCUGAGCUAGAGUACAGAAGGGGCAACCGGAAUUCCCAGUGUAGCGGUGAAAUGCGUAGAUAUUGGGAAGAACACCUGAGGCGAAGGCGGGUUGCUGGGCUGAUACUGACGCUGAGGCGCGAAAGCCAGGGGAGCAAACGGG